UACCGGGUUCAAAUCCGCCUGCCGGCUUCUCGGGUGUUUGAGGAGUGUUGAAAUGGGAGGUGGCCCCCCAUCAUAUGGACGAUGUAGGACGUGAUAAUAUCAACUUGCGAGCUGACAAGGAACUAAGUUGAUGCGCCGUUGAUCCGCUAGAUUUGGUUUGAUGCUGGUGGUGAGUUGCCGAACCCAACGAAUACAUUCUGAAGUCGGAUGGGGUGACGGAUUAGGGUGCCCCUCUAGCAGGGGAGAGCAGGGACUGCCCCGGGAAAGGGGGCCGCUGGCGAAGUUAACCACCCUGUAACAAUAUACAUACUUUAUGGAUAUUUACAUAAAAAAUAUAGUACUAGUAUUUUUUGGUUUUACAACCGGCAAUGCGUUCAGCUGAUUAUGGACUAGCAUUCUGCUGAAAGCUUUUUGCACAGGCCACGCCGUUGGGUUUGCCGACGCGCACUCUCGUUCAUCUUAACCUGUGCCGUACGAUGUAGAAUGCCGCCGGCUCACCGUUGACAAUGGCCAUCAGGAUGACCUGCAGCGAUGACGUCAACCGUCGUACAGCUCGUACAGUCAACAUCAUCGAGCGUUGAUGCUCCAGGUACUUCAUCACCGCGGACUUCACAUCCUGGAGAGUCAAUACACCUGCCGCGUCCAAGGUCACGUGUACACACGCACGAGGUCAAAACAACACACCGUACAUUAGCGCCGUACAUUGGCAUGCCACCGGGCGCAACUGUCAAAACGACGCUAAACGAGCUAGUUAGGCGGGCCUGGGUGGCCGUAGGGCUGUGUAAGUCAAAUAGAUAGAUUGAAAUGUAAUAAGUACCUCAAAAUACGGUGGAAAUUAAAUUGCUUCAGGUCUACGUCAAGAGGCGGUCGAUAGGUUCGGAGUCCUCGAUAGGUUUAACUCGGGAGCAUGGCGAGCAAUAACGGGGGGAGCUCCGAGCCGAUUGGCACCGGGCCGGCACCAGGGAAUCCUGUCCUCCCUACCCGCAUCCACGGACCCCCCAUGCAGCCCCAAAAUGGACCCCACGCUUGCUUGCAUGUAUGUGCGGCCCCUCUAUUCCCCCCUCCAUUCCGCCCCCUCCCUCCCCCACCCCCCCCCACACACCGUCCUUGUCGCCGUCCAGCGCGUCCCAGGCGAUUUGCCGGUCCACCUCAUGCGUGAAGAUGCUCGCGAGCAUCUGUGUCGGUGCGACGACCGGGGGACGGUACACGGUGGCGGCGGCGAGUGGACAGACGCAAGGGAGACAUACAUACGCAGAGACACAAAGCGUGUGGAAUGCGACGACCGAGGAUGGUAAACGGCACCGUGCCGUUAACCGUGACGGUUGUGAGUGGCAUGCAAGUAAUAAGGCAAGAAAGAGAACACUGCCAGCUAGGCAUAAGCAACAAGUAAAAAUGGGGUGGAGUGGGCUGGAGUGCAUGUUGUUGUUGUUGUUGUUGUUACAUGGUCGUGGGUGCGUUCCCCGUACCUGCAAACCACCCUAAUACGAGCCGAGGGCUCAAGGGCUGCCAGAUCGCCUAUAAGCACCAUCCUACCUCGCACUUCAAACGAAACAAGUGAUGAAGGAUACUAACGACCAAAGGGAACGAUAGAGUUGCGGUGGGACCGUAUACGUUCCAGCAUGUGUCAGGCAGCGGCAAGAGGAGCCCAGUAGUUGCCAGGGUAAAUGGAUUGAAUAGUGGGGCCAGAUCAUGUCCUAUCGCGUUGCCAGGUAGGUGGUUAGGCAAGAUGAUGCAGAAUGUUACAAGUUCCAAGUUCCACCCAAGUGGGGUCGACAUCCGUACAAGCCGGGGUGGGGGGAACCAUGGACGGUCCUUAGUCAUUGUCGUGGGGUCGAUUGCGGACGUUGUCGUCGUCCUCCCCCGUUCGCCUGAGCUCAACGCGCCUGAGCGCCACGUGCCUGAUCUCACAAUGCGAGGUCGCCAUGCUUGUUGAGGUCAGGUCAUGCCUAGAAGUUUUAGCUUGCGUCAUGCAAUGCAAGUUCAUGUGCCAUCACAAGGUUCCGCCGUGAUCAUUAUCGCCAACCUCACCACCAGCUUCCUCACCACCACCACCACCACCACCACCACCACCACCACAAUCCUCCUCCUCCUCCUCUUCCAUGUUAUCGGCAGGUUCGCUCUCACCUCUUUCUCAAUGGUAUCAUCGCUCCCGGGGAGACCCACACACUCCCACACAGCCUCCUGGAAAGUAGUCGCAAGAGCCGGAAUGGUCGAGUCACGCAGGUUGCUGUAAUCCUGUACAUUGUCAUGCAGGAUUUCAUACGAUGAUAAGGCCCUCCCAGCGGUCAGCAUGACGCCAGGGGGAGAUGUACAGAGAAUAGAGACGAGACGUGCAGAGGCGACACGCGCGUAUGUAGACAGAUAGAAAGCAUGUAGACAGACAAGUAGACAGAUAGAAGGCAUGUAGACAGACAAGUAGACAGAUAGAAAGCAUAUCCUAACGUCACGCCAAGCAGAUAGACCGGCAUGCAAGGCCUUAGCCUCCAGGGGUCUGAGUAAUGCACAUGUGAUGCAAACCAUCUUUGUAUUCUAGCAGCAUUUGGGCUGCUGAGGCUGGGGUGGUUCUGGCGGCCGGUUCGAUGGCCGUAUACGGCCGUUGCGGCUGUUAUGGCGUCUCUUAAUCGGUCAUGGGAUGUUUGAGCAAUAUGGACGAUGUCGGACCCCACUUCAUGCGAUGUCAGUACACCGCCACAAUACCGAGGCAGGAGCACCUAACGCCUACCACUCCAACAUCCCGCACCAAGCUGGCGACCCGCUUGAUUGAUCGGAACCUUCCCCCCCACACACACAUACACAUCACCACCUUGAGCAUCUUGUCCAGCAGUGUCCGAGGGUUGAUGAUCUUGCGAGCGCCGGACUGCCGCAACGCGUGCAGCUGACGGCGAGCGGCCCCAGGGUGGGAUGCCGUGGCUAAUUUCCCGCUGCCGCUGCCGAGGCUGUUAACGUGGCUGCCGUCAUUGUCGCCGCCAUUGCUACCGCCACCACUGUCCCCGCCACUGCUGCCGCCAGCGGUGCCACCACUGCCGCCACCACUGUCCCCGCCACUGCUGCCGCCAGCGGUGCCGCCACUGCCGCCACCACUGUCCCCGCCACUGCUGCCGCCAGCGGUGCCGCCACUGCCGCCACCAUUGCCGCCGCCACUGCCGCCACCAUUAGCGCCGCCACUGCCGCCACCAUCGCCGCCGCCACUGCUGCCACCACUGCCGCCGCCACUGCCACCGCUACUGCCACCGCCACUGCCGCCACCAUUGCCGCCGCCACUGCUGCCACCACUGCCGCCACCACUGCCACCGCUACUGCCACCGCCACUGCUGCCGCCACCAUUGCCGCCACUGCUGCCACCGCCACUGCCGCCACCACUGCCACCGCCACUGCCGCCACCACUGCUGCUUCCAUUGCCGCCGCCGCAGCCGCCGCCACUGCUGCCGCCACUGGCUUCGGUCUUGUUGGAUGGACUCACCUCCUGUGUGGACGGCGUCGGGGCCGCAGGCCCGCGGUCAGGCGGCCCCGGGCGAAGGGCAAACGCCAAGGCAGAAACAAAUGAGCUCAGGUCCGUAUGAUAGAGGAGAAGUAUCAGGCUGUAAACGAAGAGGAAGAAACAAGAAAGGUGUCGUCACAGCUCCUGAAUCUCCUACCGCUACCAUUACCAUCACCAUCAUCGCCAUCAUCAUCACCACCAUUCUGCAGUGUAAGGGCCCUUGGCAGUUGGUCUCCUCGCUUUCCGUCUCUACCAUUCUAAGCACGGUCAGCCAGCACGUCAGAGUCGGCAGAGCCACGAGAAUACGGUUAAGGGAGACAGGAGCACAGAACUACUAUUUCUACAGCAACGGAGUGACAGCGUCGGGACCAGACGGCGUGGCAUCGAUGUGAUCUUUGUGAAAUCUACGUGAAAAUUCACAAAACCCUAAGUGAAUGGUCACAAAAACCCUAAACAACCACAACAAUUCCGACCUGGCCCAACCCGAUGCUCACACACACCACACACCACACACCACAUUCCUUGCCAGCCCCCCAAACCAGAUUCCCUACCUGUAGCCAACCGUACACCACAAGCGCUACCAGCAACAUAUACCGCACGGGCACCGUCUCCGUGUGUAACUGCUGGAUCAACAUCUGCAGGGGCUUGGACUUCCGGUGUGUAAGAGAGCUGAAGAAGUUACUGCAUCUGGCGCGGGGCCCCUUCCUGGCGGCUGCUGCAUCGGCACGGGUGGGUAUCGGCAACAGCCCGCAGCAGCUCCCCAAGUCACAGCAGCAGCUCGGCAAGUUUGACUGCGUGUUCGCUGCCGUGCCGAUUUCGCAUGGGGAACUGUGCUGGCGGCGGAGAGAGCUGCCGCUGAGGUCAUCAACGGCGCCGGACUCCGAAACCGGCACAAAGUUGAGCCGUGGACCUGAAACAAGAUCCAUAUCUGGAUUUGGGCCAGAACCUGGAUCCGAAGCCACCUCGGCAUUAUGAAGCAUUGAAUCUCUGGCACUGGCACUGGCACUGGCACUGGCAGGUUUUUUCAAGUCAAUUUCACGUAAGGUACGGCCGCUGCUGCUGCUGGUGGAGAUGGCGGCGUCGGCAUUAGCAUCCGCGCUAGGGGGCUGCUGCUGCUGCUGUUGCUGCUGCUGCUGCUGCUGCUGCUGCUGCUGCUGCUGCUGCUGUUGCUGUUGCUGCUGCUGCUGCUGCUGCUGCUGCUGCUGCUGCUGCUGCUGCUGUUGCUGCUGCUGCUGUUGCUGCUGCUGCUGCUGCUGCUGCUGCUGCUGCUGCUGCUGCUGCUGCUGCUGCUGCUGCUGCUGCUGCUGCUGCUGCUGCUGCUGCUGCUGCUGCUGCUGCUGCUGCUGUUGCUGUUGCUGCUGCUGCUGCUGGUAGAUGGUUCUUAGGUCAACCCUUCGUUAGUGCAAAAAUCUUUAAUAAUUUUUUGUAAAAAAGAGAAACUUUUAACUUUAAAAAACUAAAUUACUUGUUAAGUUCUGGAAAUCUUAAAAAAUGUUUUAGGAAUUCAUAAAAAACUUUUUUAGAUCAGGAAAAACUUUUAAGAAAAAUCGGAGAUAUAGAUUAAAGGUAAAGGUAAAAAGUAAAAGUUAAAGGUUAAAGUUAAAGUAAUGAGUCUAGAAGGUCAGAUUAGUGGAAAUUUUUUUAAAAAAGAAAAUCUAAAGCUGGAAGGAGAGGUAUGUGUUAUAGAGUUUGUUUUAGGGGCGAUUAGCUAGGGUUGAGAAAAAAGGUAUGUUUUGUGAGAGAGGUUUGGAAGGUUUAGACCGAGGGGAUAAAAAGCGACGAGUAUAAAUUUAUCGAAGGAUGUUGUGUGUGGAGGGCUGGAAAAUAGUUUUUGUGUAUAGGAGAGAUGUAAAAAUCUAGAGGUGGGGUUUUGGCUGAGGUGAAGGAGUGUUAAGGAGAUAUAAGUGCUGGGAGUGGUUUGGUCCGAGCUGAGAGUUUUAUAGGUGUGGUGCGUGGAAAAAAGAAAUAAGAAAAACUGGGUGUAUUUGGAAGAGAACUAGAUGGGCUGCUAAGCUAGUGCAAGCUGACCUAAAUAAAGUCGCUGAAGCUAAAUUUAGCAAGGCACGUCACGACGCGUUUCGGCCUUGCCAGGGCCUCAUCAGGUGACUCUUGCGCUAAGUUUAGGUGCUUUGCUAUGCUAAGAGCCCCCUGAGAUGUAGAAAACGUAAACUGACCGUAGUGGGCGAACUGUACCAGUGUGUGUGGUUGUUACAGUGGGCUCCAGACUCCCGAAGAGUAGAGCCAUCGGGCCAGCUGGCCGUGCACUGCAGUAGAGACUAAUAUACCAAAAGAUUAUCAUCUCAGAUAAUUAACCUCUCAUCGGUAACCGCUCUCGCGAACAAAUCAAUUUGCCAGAUAUAAUCCUCAAAAAGGGGUGAUGUGCGCCAACGGAUUCCCAACCUUUUCGUGGAAUUCCUAAAGCUGCGAAACCCUGAAUGCGGCCCCAAAAAUCAACAAUAACUCGACAAAUUGCUUCUUCCGUAAGGGAAGGACCAGGUAACAGUGCCGGGUUGGUUUUCAUGUUUGCAGCCAUAUAACGUCUCCCAUGCUCCAUGGCUGACACCGCAGCAAGAGCCACAACAUCCCAAACACAUUGUUGCACUGAUUGUGGGGCUUGGAUAAGCCAAAGUUGCUCCCUUGAGACUGGCAAUCCUAUUGAAAGAGUAAGUUGGUCUGCUAUUGCCUGUGCCACCGGACAGGCCCAGAAAUGAUGAUAGCGAGGGGAUACACCUCCCACUGAACCUAUUGGAUAACCUCCACAACCACAUAUCGUGGGCGCGACNNNNNNNNNNNNNNNNNNNNNNNNNNNNNNNNNNNNNNNNNNNNNNNNNNUGCAUAUUAGUCGCUAUUUUAACGGAUAAUUGUUGGAAUCGGAUUGGAGGCCCUACACCCCAUCUCCAACCAAGCCUCGACACUAGGGUUUGAGUAACCGACUCAAUAGGGGGCACCAUCGCUUCCCUAGAUUCUACACUCAGCGGCAACAAAAGACUAGCCGCCUGUCUCCAAUUCGCUGGAAUAUCAUCUAGAAGAGCGGCAAUAGCAUCCAUACAUUCCUGCCAUUUACGAUAGGUGCACAGGGAUUUAGCUAGUGGGGUUUGCGGUUGGAGGUAUUUAUCCACUAUUUGAUGCCAAGCCUUGCGUAUUGCUAGGCCUGCUUGGUCCGUUGCAUUCAUAACUCCAUCCAAGGCCUCUCGCGCGCAAAGAACAUCUCCCAACGUACCAGUGGUGAAGAAGUUUGGUGGUGGUAGUUGGUGUUCGCAGAGCGGUUUUAGUCCAAUCGAUGGUGGUUGUCAAGUGGUGAGCGAGGACGAGCCUGAAUGAAAAACGUAAUGAUAGUGAGUUGUAAAGUCAAUUGCAGUGGGUGUAGGAGCCUGGUUUGGAGGUUUAUGAGCAGUUACGAGUUGGCAUGGCGGGUAUGUAAGAUAUGGGUACUCGACGAGCAAUCACGGAGGUUUGAAUUGAAAACUAGCUGUGUUGCGAUGGAUUAUUUGCGAGGAAAAAGAAAGGCGGACGGCUGGGGAGGACUUACUGUUGGUGGGCGAUGAUGAGGUUCGAACGGUGGCGUUGUGCAAGAUAGCACCGCGCGAAGAUUGUAGGUCUUUGUGGAUUAUAGGGAAUAAAGAUAAGUUGUUGUAGAUGAGGAUACUGAAGAGUGGUGGUAUUUGAUGUGAAAGGUGUGGGCUAUAGGUGUGGCUAUAGGUAUGACGGCGUUCGGUGUUAUAGGCGCGAUUGAGCGAGUUUGGGAAUAAAUGGUGAACGAGAUAUCAGUAUAUGUAUUAAACAGAAUUGAGCUGAAUAGCUAUGGGCAAGGCCACAGGCGGCAUCGGAUGAGCGCGCGCAACGCACGUGCGUGCUGGUGCCGGACGUGUCGUAUGUAUUCGAUCGUAUUUGGUCCCUCUAUUUCCCUAUCUCCCGCGCGCCCGCUGACCUGCAUCGCCUCCACGGUCUUCUGACGACUUCUUUGGCUGUAAGACAGCGCCACUACCAGAUGGCACGCCACUGUAAUCAGCAAGCUCGCGCAGGAGAAGAGCAGCCAGCAUAGCAGCAGCCGCCGAACCCACCGCUCAGCCUGUGAGGGAAGGCACGAACGACAAAAACAACCAACAAAAUUGCAACUGCUCAGCAACUGGCGCCCCCAAACCCUAAAACCCUAAUAAGGUGGGGGAACAGCCGACGGCCUGCCAGGAAUGACCCACUUGACCCAUCUUCUCUUUGCAGGAGAGAAAUAAUAGCUAUCUAAAUAAUAUGAUAAUGACUUAGUGUCUCGCCCUUACACUCACCGAGCUGGAUGGCAGUGGCGGCGCGCUUUCCAGGGCGGAAUCCCAGAACAGCCAUUUGAAGGACAGGAAGGCCGCUACGGAAACCAGCCACAUCUGCACGCACCGAUUCGCGUCAUGGGCACCAUGAGAGCUGUUGGAAAGCGGUUUACCAGUCGGGACGACGAUCAUUCACCAUAUAUCCACAUUGCUACGGGGUAUCAUCUAUCCAACGGGCAUCCAUUGUGUGUAACCUGCCAAAGAUAGCGCUCGCUAUCUGGGCUUGGUAUAUGGGCCAGAACGGCCUUUUAGUGCGUGCCGUCAGCGCUUAUGUGAUACAGGUCGGUCCGCUAUGUUUUCCUUAAGCGCGAAGUUGGACAAAAUGAAGCUGUUUGCCCCCGAUGUGCGAAUGCGGUGUUUUGCAACCCAAGUCCGAGCAAUUCUGUUGUAUGGCUGCCAGGCGUCGGGCCCUUUUGCGCUGGCAGAGGUCGUGGACAGGGUGGGAAGGCGGCGGGAUAAAGCCAACCUUGCGGAGGGCAUGUUCGAAGCCUGUUUGAAGGAUAGCGCAGUCCAGCUGCAGAUUUUAUUCAUGAGGCAGGUAGUGGGGACGGCACGGCCAUCCCACAGGCUGUUGUACGCGGAGCUGGCUGAACUCCCCUUACAAUACUACAUGGUGAAGCAGAUCCUCCGUUUCUGGAACCGCCUUCAAAAGCAAGUGGGAUCCAUUGCUCAUGCCGUUUUACGGCAGGAGAUAACCGAUGCCCUGACCAACCCGGAAUGGGAGGGUUGGGGAAUCUCAAUGUUACGACUGUUUUCCUUCUGGGAGUGCAACAUUUGGAGCGGAAUACCGCAAGAAGUCGUGGGGGUAAAGGAGCGUGUUGACUGGUUGUUGAGUAGACCUCUACCCGAAGGAGCGAUGAUAACGGCACUAAGAGAGUGUUUGAUGAGCGGCUGGGACCAUAUGCGUGUGACUGUCUUGCCAGAGGAGUACCCAUCAGAUGGGAAGCAACCGGGAGUGCAAAUGGCGAAGUAUAAGCACUGGAUGGGGCUGCCCUUUUCGGGAGCCGCAGCCGUCAUGUGGCCAACACAUGCUAAGGUUUUCAUUCCUCGUUUAGCACAUCGUAAGCCAAUGCAGUUUCGUUUAUGUUGCUGGGCUUUGGAGGCAAACAGAGCACGAAGGGGCAAGUACCAUGUCCCCAGGGGGCAGCGGUUUUGCCACAGUUGUGGUACUAAUAGCCGAAUUGAGGAUGAAAAACACGUGUUAUUGGAAUGCCCAGCCUAUAAUGAUAUUCGUGCUGAAGAGGGAUUCGAUCAUCAACAGAGCAUGUUGGAGGCCAUGCAAUGGGAACCCGCACGUCUGGCGAGGAUGUUGGAACGUAUGUGGGCUCACCGAAACUCAAUUAACCCCUUUGGACGCUAGUCUGGGCUGAUGUGCGGUGUUUUCCUUUCCUCCGUGGCUUUUAGGCGUUGUAGUAUUGCCCUUGGGCCUUCGGCUCGUAUGGGUAGUCUUACAGGUAUGGGGUCACGCACCCCCAACCAUGUAACACACACACACAUGGUUGGGGGUGCGUGACCCCAUACCUGUAGAAUUACCCAACAUGCUCUGUUGUUGAUCAAAUCCUUCUUUCGUGUGAACAUCAUUAUAAGCUGAGCAUUCCAGCAACACGUGCUUUUCAUCCUCGACUUGGCUAUUGGUGCCACAACAGCGGCAAAUCCGCUGCUCCCUGGGGACAUGGUGCCUGCCCCUUCGGGUUCUGUUUGCCUCCAAAGCUCAGCGACAUAAGCGAAACUACGUUAGCUUACGAUGCUAAGAACAAGGAAUGGAAACCUAAGCAUCCAUUGGAUGGUGUUCCGCCUUCACCCGCAAUGGCUGCACUGCGCUGCACUGCCAGGCGUACGUGCCGGCGGUCUAGGCUGCACGGUGACAUAUAUGCGGAGCGAAUCUGCUGGGAAAUGUUCGUGCUCAACGCAGGGGCCAAGGAACGAGCCAGCAAAGCGGCAUGCGCUACAGCAAAUCCUACCGCCAGAAGCAAUGCCAAAGAAACAACGGUCUCUCCCAUCCAAGGACGAUAUCUCUAUCGCCGCUAAAAGUUCGAAGUGUGCGCCGCACACAUACCUAACCAUCACACGCUCUCACCAAAACAACGAGUUCGCUCCCGUCGCCGCUACAGCUGUGGCUAUGUUGCAAAUUGCAGUUUACGAGUUCUGCACAAAUGGGGGAGUCCGUAAAAUUCCGGGGGGACAUAGGGGCCAUGGGGCUACGGCUACUGUCCUCCUUCCGAAACACGACAGCAGGACGUACGCCGACACGCUGCAUCGUAUUGCCGGGACAUUUCUGCCAGCAAAGCAUAUUCACCCACCCGCGCACGCACCUUGCACAUCAGACGGGCGGAAGGCAGCAUCACAAGCAAGAAGAAAAAUCUUAGCUGCGAAAAAGCAGGGAAGCAGCAGCGGCGGAGGGACGAUGAGGUCGGGCAUCAACUAGUCUUGCGCCGUCGCACUUGGUGAAGCAAUAGGAGAAGCAGGAGUCUGGGUGAAGCACCUUAUGGAUCACCUCUUCCUCACUUUGGUGCGAGGUGACAGGCGGACAGCAGCAGGCAUUUACAACAGCUGGAUGAUGAUGAAUAAAAAAGACCGACAUGUUAAAGGAAAGGAUGGAUAAGUGCACAGCUAGACAUAUGAGCAAACAGAAACACAGGCGGACAGGCGGACAGACAGAAACACACGAAAGGUGAAAAAUUUAGGUUUGCGCGGGGCCCAGCAGUCUUAGGACCUGCUUCCGUAUCCCCACCUCAAGCCAUAGGUAGACAAGCUCCACCAGGCUGUCCAAAAUGAUCAUACUUGCCAGGACAGAUCCAAGCAGGUAGAGCCAGCGGAGGCCAUCGCACUGGGGUAGGCAGGGGGCAAGGGGGAGAGGAUUGAAGGGCCGUAUUAAGAGAGAGAGAGAGAGAGAGAGAGAGAGAGAGAGAGAGAGAGUGUGCGCGCGCGCUUGUGUUACACGGUUGGGGUUGCGUGACCCCAUUCCUGUAGAACUACGCAUCAUACGAGCCGAGGGCCCAAGAGCACGACCUCAACGCCUAAAAGCCACGGAGAAAAGGAAAACACCACACUAUCAGCCCAGACUAGCGCCCAAGUAUUUUUCCUAUGGAAGGCGUGAUGCAAGGCAGGGAGGGUACGUACGCCAGGUAGUGGGAGUCAGAACAUCACGCGGACACUGCAGGGCACUGAGAUUGUUUACUGCAUAGUUCUAUUAUUACGUGCAAACCAUGAGGGACGGAUAUGUAUGGAUACGCCAAUUCAAACGAACUUACUGGUAGGCUUAUGCCUCUGCUAUCCAGCACCAACGCGGCGGAGAGAAGUGCAGCGCCAGUUCCCAAAAGCGCUAGGAGGAUUUUGGUAGUUGGUGGAAAGGAAACGCUAGCUACUGCAGCGCCCACAGUCUUGCUGUAACCAGCCUUAGUUAGAAGGCUAGAAGGAGGCUCCAUCUCGCUCGACCCUGCUGCUCACAUUAGGUUAGUCGUUCGGCGGCACGGCGACAGUUGCGUUUCCCGCCGCUCGUUUCCUAACAGAUGUUACACCUCGGCUGCAACUAAGAUCUCAUUCUCAAUUAGCAACUACCGAAAACCGGCACAUUCAUCAGCAUGUCAGGAUGCAAGAUGACAAAAUUUUACGGUGGGCGUACUUUUGGAGCUGUGUUAUAGCAUUAUAUAGCUUAGUCACGGCGUACACAGAGCAUUCUUUUUUUGAGGCUUUCCAUGUAGCAAAGAUUCUAAGAGAUUGCUGGAAAAGUGUGGAUGCAUGGAGAUUUCUAUGGAUUAGUAAAGGUUUUCGCCCGAACGCAUCAACCUGCCGUCCAAUAUUAAUUAAUUUGGUGCAAUUAAUAUUUAUAUAAAAUACUUAUAAGUUGCAAUUUUUGUCUUGGUAGUUGGUUCUUGUCCAUGUGCGUGAUGAUUGUUCGGCAGGAGCGAGGGUUGUAACCUGUAUGCUCGGUUCGGGGUCACAAAUAAAAUAUCUUUUUGUUGCAAUGGCAACGAUAUCAUCCAGGUCUCGAUAGCGCCCUGGAUUCUAUCGUGCUUGCGACGACAUAGCUAUCCCGAGAUGUCCCAAGAUGUAUACGUCCAGCAAACCCUCGCAAGUGGCACUUCGCUAGUCAAAGUGAACAGCCAUAUGCCAUGCUACCAUUUUCCGGGUCGCGAAUUGCCUGCUAGCUGCAUGCAGUAGUGUGAAGCGGCCUUGGUUGAGGCCUGGUUUGCUGAAAUUGUGCGGGGCUAGCUGAGCCGUCCUGACGCUGCAUAACCCUUCUGGCUAGCCUCCAUUCGUUUCCGUCCAGGUGCAGAUCUAGGAGUCCCGGUUUAUGGAGCCCUUUCAGCAGAGCACAAGUGAUGAACGCGUGGCAAUACAGGAAGGCAUGCGCACGGUAAGGGUCUAUGCAUCAUAAGUCUGGUGAAGACCCGCCGACCCUGCAGCGAUCACAACCCUGUUGCCUACACCUCCGCGAAUUCACGUACCCAGCACUGCUGCAGGAACGGGCCGAGCCGAGCGAGGCUGCGACCGAGCGCCACUGCUGAGCAGAGAACCUCUCCUGUCGAAGAGCGCAAAACUAAGCGUUACACAUAUCCUUUCGUCGCUUUCGUACCGCGCGGCUUCGUUGUGCCUUUGUUAUUUCGGCCUUACGUUUGAGAGUUUGCGAGGCAGCGCGGCUCCUCUAGAUUUUCUUGGUCCUCUACGUCGCCAGCAACCAAUAAUGGCAGGCAAGUAUCUUAAAAUUUACUUGAGCAUUUCAUGAAUCUAUAUCCGUUUCCUGCUUUACGGUGUUGUGCAUGUUGGAAGGUAAAUUGCCGCAAUUGAUAGCUCCUGCCCUUUUCACUGUAAAAGCCGCAGAGCACGAUUUUCUUUGUAGCGUAGGCCUAGCGUAGGCCUAGAUGUGAAAGACCUGGGGAUUCUCAUAGACACAUGUGAUGACAAUAUCCGUUGAAAGACACAAGGCCUUGUGCCUGCGCCAAAAGCAGUGACGUCUGGAAGGAGACUUAACGUCUUGAAGGAAUGAAUGGUGUUCAAGCGAUUUGACCGAAUUAUUGGUGCUGCCACUGGCUGCUUACGGGCUUUUGCAAUGGAUUUUAAAGGAUCGUCGGGGCAUAAACCUCGUCAAACUUUUAGCCAUGAAUGUCGCAAUCUUGCACAGUGUAAUCUUGGUACAUUAAUAUUCUGUUCGCGCGCAACCCUGUUAUUUGCGGCCGACCUUCCGAUUCAAAAGAUCUUCUCGAGAGCCAUGCUUCAUCAGGACCUCGGGUACGAUUCAUAAUGUGCACCUGUUGCUCCUCCUCAUCGUAAUCUUUAAUGUAUAUAUACUGCCAGCCGCCAGCUACAUGACCUGCCUAUUUUUUUUGUACAUGUCCGUGUUUGUGUGCACGUCACCCGCAUUACUAUUUUUCGUAUGUCAUUACGCAACAGCUCCGGUCCGGUGACACUACCGCAAUAUGCGGCUUAAGGUCCAAGAUUUUAUUCCUGGGUCGACACCCGAUAUUGCCGGGAGCGUGAGAUUAUGGCUGCUGAGGUUUGGAGUUGAGGUCACAGUUGAUGGACCGAGAUUCGCACGCUGGAUUCCUUGCGAUUGCUGAACCCUGUAUCUCAGCGGAGGAUCGGGUGACUGGAUGAGGAGGGAUCCUAGAAGGCAGGAUCACCGCCUUGGACUUGGGGUUCCUUUGGCGCAGUACAGUGUGGUAAUGGUGGAUGGUGCGGUAUGGUGAUAAAUCGUAGAAAUGACAAUAUGUUCAAAUGGCCCAUAAGCCUCCCACUCCGUAACAACAACAGCAGCAACAGCUCUGGAUGCAUCCGAAAUGCUGCCCUCCGCCUGCUUCGCCCCCUCCUGCCGCCCACAUGUACCUGGUGCUAGCUAACAUGGGUUGUGCUCACGCAUGGUUCUGGAGCUUGACUGGGUUGUGACCUGACACACUACGCCAUAGCAUGUGUGUGUGUGUGUGUUACAUGGUUGAGGGUGCGUGACCCCAUACCUGUAAGACUACCCAUACGAGCCGAAGGCCGAAACUCAGUUACCCGCUUUGGACGCUAGUCUGGGCUGAUGUGCGGUGUUUUCCUUUCCUCCGUGGCUUUUAGGCGUUGUAGUAUUGCCAUAGCAUGUGCCUGGCAUACAUCUGUAUGUCUGUGCGUUGAGUUCAAGACGGUGGGUGGACGCGCUGGUCGUGUACGGCAGCUGGGGUUCGGGGUUAGGAUUUUCUCGGCGAACCUUGUGACGUAACCGAAAAGAGCUCAUGCGUGUAUCUGCUUUUCAGUACGCCCCAUGGGGGGCAGCUGUGGGUUCGAUCCCCACGGUGACCGAACGGGCAAGUGCGGGUCGUGUGGCCUGGUGUGUGGGAGAGGCUUAUCUUGUGGUUGCCUAGGACCCGCGACACAGGAAACACACGGCAGGGGCCCGCAUGCCGUUAUUGCCAGUGGAAUGAAUCAGCCUGUGCGAACGUCGUGGUUGCGCCUCUGCCACAUGUCUUUUCCAUGGUGUAGUUUCUAGCUAGCUGCGUACCUUGAAAGAACGAUAACUUUUUCGUGUACUCAGGGCCGUCAUUUCUUACGCGCAUUAAGCUGGUACACUUAUCUUGCUUUUGUUGUUCGUAAGGCCCGUCUUCUUCGGGCCUCUCAAUCGUUUUCCCUCUUUCAAUAACAGAAUAUGGCAUUUGUCUCUGAAGCAACAAAUACCAGGCGAGUUGUCACAUCCACCGCCUGGAUUGGUCGCGUUGUCGUACUUAGUCAGCUCAGAAUUUACAUCAUAGAUGUCUACUUACGGCGAUCGCGUAAUUGAGUGACAUGUCGGUAGUUAGCCCUGCUCACUCUGGCAUCGUCCCGCGCAUGGCCAGCCAGAGGAAAGCAACGGGAUGGCAUGUUGCUCCCAAUAGUGCGGUUACACCGCAUGGCAUGCGGCAGUCUGGAUCCACAUGAAACGGAAAAGCAAAACGAAAUGAAUGACCUACAACAGCAGUCUGUAUUAUAAGCUUCGUGCACUUUUGCGAGGCCGGAGUCUUGCACUCGGAGCAUGUGGUUUUCAAACCCUUUCCACGGCUUCACAACGUCUACACCUUCCCAAUGCAGGCUUGGGAAGCGAGCUCCAUCUGUCCAGGUCACCUGCAGAAUCACUGAAUUUCAAGACGCGUACCACUGUCGUCGUUUGGUCGUUGUGGUGCUACCUGACUGACUGAUUGUAACCAUAAAGUCUUGCCCUGAAAUGACUUCACUAGGUUGCCAGCUUAUUAUUUUCUGAGCAUACAGCACACCGCUAAUUGUGGCCCUUACAAGCCUCCAUCUCAGCGCAGAUUCGUGUGGGGCAAGGAUCGUUAUGAUUUCCAUUUAAUUCUUCAAACAAUGGAAAGUUGCACAUCGUGUCCAGGUCAGCUAUAACUAGCCUGAAUGCCCGCUGAUACUAUGGUGUUGCCGCAAACUAUGAUAUCUGGACUUUCGGUGCGCGGCUGUCCUAGAGGUUACAGUGUGUCCACUUAGGAACACUUUAUCAUAUUCGAAAUUCGGGCAAUAUCAAUCUUAUGUCUCUGAGUAAACAAAAGGCAGCGUCGGAACUUAUUGCCGAGGGCGAUGGAGCAGCUACGGCCUCCUCCCGCCGGACUGUCCAGCGUCCCGGAGCCUCGUCCAAAAAGUCCAGCGGUACGCGUAAUGCUGGAGGAGACAACACGGGCGCCAUCGUGAUCUCGUUACUGCUCGCAGCUGCAGCAAUUGCAGCGACCUACUGGGCCACCACCGGCAGCACCCAAACGCGUCCUGCACCCCCUAACACGGCCCUCCGGGAUAUCGCUCGGCAGCUGCUGCAUCCCAGCAAGGGCAUUCUUGCGGCCGAUGAAAGCCCGGCCACCUUUGGGAAGCUACUGGGCAAGGGCGUUCCUAACACGCUCGCUGUACGGCGGCAAUGGCGCCAUGCAGUCCUUUCGGCUCCCGGACUAGAGGACCACAUCUCAGGCCUGGUGAGUUCCCAUAUUUAAAGAAUCGCAGCAGUAGCAGCACCCGGUGGUACCUCCGUUUCUUUGCGCCAAGUAAUAGCUUCUGGUAGAGGAGGCCGACCAGACGGGGUCGCCAUGGGUCGGUUACACCCCUCCGUGAUCUCCAAAGUCCGAAGAUUGCGCUGCUGCGGAGGAAAGCCUUCAACGACCAAAAUUUUUUUGACCAAUUGCCAAGUCCGUUAAGCCCUAUGAUCAGAAGUCUUUAGGAAAGCUGCGCACAGGCCCAUCGCACCCCAUCCCGCACCCUACACAUCGCAGCCGAAACCCCUCUUCCUACCCUUCAGAUCCUCCAUGAGGAGACGUUCAUCCACGGUGGCCCGGAUGUUCAGUCGGCAGCCUCUCGCGGCAUAGCUGUGGGUAUCAAGCUGGACGAGGGGACAGUGCCGCUGCAGCCCAAGAAAGCGGGGGAGCGAUCGACACGGGUAGGUGGGGUCCUAUCCUUUGUUGAAGGAAACACGUGUAUAUGUGUGUGUGUUUGUGUGCGUAUCAGAGAUCGGGGGAAAGAGUGCUUCAUGCGCGUGUUUUACGUGCCUGCUUAGGAGCGCAGUCGAAGGGUAGGCGGGAUCGAUGGGGAUAUUGUUGUGGUGCGCGCGGCCUUGGUUUCCUCUAGUCAAUCGGACCAGGACGCCGUGGAGGCCUGGCGUGACAUAUCCGGGUUCGGAGUGUGUUCGACUUCUGGGGUGUUGGGGUUGUUCAACCCACCCUACGCCCUCCCCCCCAUCCUUUCCCACCCACCCCACAGACACAUCGCCCGUGAACUUUUAUUGAACGCUUGCUGGGCUUCACUGUUCAUUUGCGGGUCAUUGCCAUUUGAUUUUACGGUUUCUGUUCUCUUUUUUUAUCUUCCGUUCACUCGCCCCUCUCCCACCGACUGUGCCAGGGGCUUGAGGGGCUUGCCGCGCGCUGCACGCGCUUUCGCGAACGCGGCGGUGCCGUAUUUGCAAAAUGGCGUGCCGUAUUCCGCGUGGGUCGCCACACACCCAGCUGCGGCGCCAUCCGCCGCAACGCCGCUGAUCUGGCGGCUUUCGCGGCGGCGGCUCAGACCUGCGGCCUGCUGCCCAUCCUGGAGCCCGAGGUGCUGGCGGAAGGAGAUCACGACCUGCAGCGCGCCGCAGCGGCAGCAGCACGGGUACGGCGGCAAAGUGUGAGGGAUUGCGUGUACGAUAACGACGGCGACGUCUCCGUGAUAGCGUCAGCUGUCCUCCAGCUGUGCUCCCAGCGCGCAUCCAAAUAUCUGACUCAUGCGUUGGGGGGCCUAUCAUUUACUUUUAACUUCGUUGGCUGUCUUCCCAUAAGGGGACCACCCUCCUUGUCCCUAACUUACUCUGGUGUCCUUCCAGCUGUCGUCCUUUUCUUUUCUUGGCUUGGGACUUCGGCAGCUGGUAGUUGAGACUUUUCGGGUAUUAUUGUCGCUUUGACUUUUUUAUUUUUGACAUUUUUACCUCUCUGUAUCUCUCCACGUUUACCCCCUGGUCCUCAGGUUCUUCGUGGUGUGUUUCGUGCGCUACGGCGUCAGCCCGACGUGGAUCCCGGGGGCUUGCUGCUCAAGGUGGCGUUUGUGACUCCUGGUCAGCAGGCUGCCGUACAGGCAGAGCCGGACCAGGUGCGUGGGGGGAGAGCUCCAUGAGACUCAGAAAGACACGUGCGUGUUUGUAAGGUGCGUGUGUAUGUAUGUUUUCAACGGGGAAAAGACAUGGGAACUCGGACGUUACGCGAUAGCGCAAGUGCAGAUUUCCGGCUAGAGAUGAGGGUUUAGGAAAGAAGUUUAGUAAAAGUAGCAGUCAAUGCACCCGUCCCCUCUCUCCUCCCCAAACCCGCCACCGCGCGAUAACACAUUUUCGAACACAACGCAACGCCACAUUUUAUCACGCCUCGACAUACGCCUCAUUUGAAUCCAAUUUCAUUCAUGGAACACGAUUACUAGCACCGUCGCCACGACUAAAUGACCAAAUUGAUUGCCCGAUCCACUCCCGCCAUUUGGCUAUGCACAGGCGCCAUCACCGCCGCGGUAGGUCUCCCUACACAUUCCAUUAACCUCCUUGCCCGCCAUCGUAACCUCAGGUCGCCAACGCCACGCUACGCGUAUUGCUACGGACCGUCCCACGGGUCGUUCCCGGUAUCGUGUUCCUGUCCGGCGGCCAGGGUGAGGCGGCCACGACCGCCAACCUGCUGGCAAUUAGCCGGCUGGCUCAGGAGCGGAUGCUGGCAGGGAAGCAACCCCUGUGAGUCUGUGACCCCUGCACUCUUAACCACCAUACACGACAUACAGACAUACCUAAAAACACACAUACACCAUGUAGCAUAAACCUAGCCGAUGUCCGAACGACGCUAUGCUGCCAAAUUGUACCGCAUUGUACAGCACUGUCCUGUGUUAUCCCUUCUCGUUGCAACCACUGUCAUGGUGAUCACUUCCAUCACUAUCCUUUAUUAACAACACGCGCACCUAGCGAUGAUGAUGUCGUACGUCACGACGUUCCGACCCGCCUCAGACAGCACACGCUGCUCCAUUGCCGCGUGAACAAGCGAUUUCCAUUUUGCCACCCUACCACAUAAACUCUCUCCGUCUGGGCGCUCUCACACACACGCACACAUUCAAACGUGUCGUGUUUUGGGGUUGUUGGGGUUUCAAUUCGCCGAGCUCGUCAGCAAGUUUCGACUGCAUUGUACUGAGUCAUCUCUACACAUGUGGAAUCCACCUCAUCAGGCCUUGACCCGCCUUUCCUUCGGUGGCUUCGUUUUGGCCUUCACUCCGGGCCCCUGCGUCUAAUGCAUCCUCGUCGUUGUCGACAGCGUCGCUGCCUGAGUCAUCUGGAUAGAUGCCCUUGUCUGCUGCUGCAAUGAUGUAGCACCACCCAACUGUGGCCCCUGCCCCUUAUUGCUUCUUACAAAUGUAUGUAUGUAUGUAUGUCCGUGUGCCUCUUGGCGUUCUUGCGUUCUUUCCCCCUUCCCACGCACAGGCCCUGGGCGCUGUCAUUUUCGUUCGGUCGAGCACUGCAGAGCUCAGCGCUAAUAGCCUGGCAGCGGGGCGACGUGGCAGAGGCUCAAGCGCUGCUCAAAACACGAGCGGAGGUCAACGCGAUGGCGCAGCAGGGCCAACAGAAGGUUGUCGUUGGGACGUUGACCGAGGCCUUCUCCCCCGCACCGCCGCCGGGAGGCGGGUUGACUGGCAGAGUCGGGGACUCGGGGUCGCGGGGCGGGUAGGCGGAGUGUGCUGCAUGUCCGCUGCGGGGGAGUACUGUCUUGUGGCGAGAUGGAUUGUCGGAUGAAAUCGGAUAACAGACAAGCUUGCUGCUUCGUGGGGGAGGGGCCACGUAUUUUGGCUUGUAGGGAGAUUCGUGUUUGACUGGCAUGCUCGCCCAGGUUAUGCGCGCGCUGAGACGUGCUAUCAAGUGUGGACCGGCUGUUGGAGGAUUUUGUUGUCGGUACCCACGCCGAAGGCCUGCCGGUGGGAAGGGGACAGGAGAACGCGAUGGCCAUGCUGAAUGACGCUUUGCAUAGAUGGAUUAUGUAUGUUUGACGGCAAGUACGCACCAUGUCCGCGGUCUCCAUGACGCAGUAACCGAUGACGAUGCCAGCAACAAUGCCCAGGACAACCUGCGCGGCAGAGGCAUCGAGUAGCUCUGCAGCGGCAGUUGCGAGCAAGCGGAGUGAAGCAACUCCUUGGCGCACCAUGAGAAUCUUCUCCAGGAUAGAAACGCCCAAUGACUGGGAUGCUUUGCCCAUUGUCCGAUCAACGCUUAAUGCGGUUGUAAUUUAAGUCGACGACUCAGUUGUGCGGCUGUUAUCUUACAAUGGCGCCUGCCAGAUGAUGUAGGUAAGAUGCGAGAUGAUCUAAGUUUUAAUUGUGCCAAGCUUCAAAACCUUGGUGUGGCGGAGAAAACCCAGGGAGUUGUACGACCGAAUACCAACUCCCGCCCUUCGUUGACCUAAGCAAAGAAAUGUAACACGUGAUUUUGCCGAAGUUAUCAACACCAUGAAAUAGGAAAUAAUGCCAGCACAGAAGGAAAGAUAUAAAUGAAGUCGACUGUACGUUUUGGACCAUCGCAAGUCACUGGCACAGCAGCGCUGCAACAGCUGCACCUUGUCACAAGCGUGCCCUUCACGAAGAGCAUUGAUGCAGGAAGGCAAGGAAAAACCUGCUGCGGCGACCCAACUAUACCCAAAACGCACAGGCCGACCGCGCCAACCGACCUCACGGUCCUCUUUACUCCAUCCGUUGCCCACAUCCCCUUAGGUUACAGCCCUUGCCUCGCAACCGGGCGCAACAACCCCUCUUCCGCGCCUUCCUCCUCGUCAUCGCGGCUUGCGUCGCCACCACGCUCCUGGCAGUCUGGUAUCUGCGUCACGAACUGCCUGUGGCACAGAAACGUGCGAGGGAGUCGGAAGCCCUGCUGGCGCCUCCCAGCCAGUCUUUUUGCCGACGAGUAAGCUACGCCCCCUGAUCGCAGCCUGGGGGGACCUGGGGGAACCUUUGCUUUCUUCGCCUGUCUUUCCAAUACCAUUGCAUUCUACAUUGCAUACACCGCAUUUGUGUGGGGUGGGGUGAAGGCCAGUGGGAGUGAGGUGAUCUUCGUGACACAGUUGCGUAAGGUUCGUAUCGCUUCCUUCCCUUUCCUUUCCUUUCCUUCCUAACAAGCCGCCGCCUCUCCGCUUCUCCCUCCCUCCCCCUUCCCGUUCCGCUGUCAGACCCGGCCUCCCUUGGUAUGCGCCCACGGAGGCGACACAACCCACGCGCCGCCAAACACCGUGUCAGCAUUUCGCGCCUCCCUGGCAGCUGGCGCGGACUGUGUGGAGGUGGAUGCGGCGCUCUCUCGAGACGGCGUCUUGGUGGUGAUGCACGUGCGGGAGCUGGCGCAGCUGCUAGGGAGGAGAGGGGUGCAGGUGGGCGUGGAUGUUGGCGAGGAUGUUGGCGAGGAUGUUGGCGAGUGCAGGCAGGGAAGGUAGGUUUGGCGGCCUGGGUGGUCAUGGAAUGAAGAUUUGACCGAAGUACAGGUUCCCGGUACAGGAUGCAGGUCACAAAUACGGUUUCCACACGCAGACACACGAACACACGAACACAGAUAAUUAAACACACACACACACAUUCUCUCUCUCACUCUCCCUCUUUCUGCCUGCCGCAUCGCUUCAUAGCGUAAUUUAUUUCAUGUGCAUCUUCGUAAUGAAGACCCCUCACGCAUUUUCGCUCUUCCCCUUCAUUUACCCCUUUCCUAUGUAACGACCCCACCCCUUUCACUUGCCCCUUUUUUCCUAGGUGGGCGAUCUUCCCUCUUCAGAGUUGUUGUCCCUGCGAUGGCCCUCAGGAGAGGCAGUGAUGAGUGUGGAGGAGGCCGUACGACUCACGUCGCCCUUCGUGUCCUGCGUAACCCUGGACGUCAAAACCUAUAACGAUAAGGUGCGGCAGCGGAGGUGCAGUAGGGGGACGGGAUGGGUGCUAGACUGGUUCGCCUACCAUGGCCGUUAAAGGUUAGAAGUUCUUACAAGUAACCAAGUUGUAAGGAUGCUAGCGUAUAUGCCCUCGUCAAGCGCUGUGUUGAUGGUGCGGUUUCUGUACGGCGGCGCUUUUCUGUAGGCGGGGGAACCUUUGGACGAGCUCGCCAUCGCUGAGGCACUGGUGAGCCUUGUGGCGGCUACUCGCUGUACCAACUGCCUCAUCUGGGCCAAGAGCGACCGAGUGGUGCGGCGGGUGCUGGAGCUGUCGCCGGGUUAGUGAAUGACGCUUGCGGAGUGUUGGUUAGGUGACCCGUGGGUCAGCGCAGAUCACUGAAGCCCGUGGUCAGUUUUUAUCGCUUUUUUUGGGCCGCUUAGCGGCCCGCGGUUUAAUUGGACACGGUAAUCGCGCGUGCAUCAGUGGCGGGUGACCCGCAGGUCAGUUGGUCGUUAAGGGUACGAAACCCGUGCCAGGCGAUUUAGGUCAACGCGUUUUGGGGGGGGGUCGCCCAACCGGACAUCCCUUCCAAAUCUUAUCUCCCGCGCAGGAUAUGCCAAAACCUAUUUAUAUAUUCAAUAACCUCUGAUCCCCUUGCCAAACUAGUGAUUGUGAUCUUUUUGUGCUGUUUUUUCUGUUCGGAACUUUACACCAGGUCAGCGCACUGGUUAUAUUGUGAUGAACGAAACCGAGGAAAGCCGUCAGCUAGGUAUGCAACACCCGCUAAGGUUCGGCGGCGCCGCCGAGGCUGCAACCGCAGGAGCCGAAGGCGCCCGUUCGGGGCCUCUCGGCUACUACGCCCAAGACCAGGCUGCCAAAGACGGCGUCGAAGAGGACGACGAGGACAACGACGGAAUCCUACUGCCGCCGGGCGGCGGUGGCGAUGGGCGCUGGAGGCGGCGGCGGCAGCGGCGGGACCGUCCGCCAAGCCAUCAGGUUCCGAAACCAUCGCAGCCUACAUCCCAUCAGCCCGGAGGCGGCUGGCGCCCUGACGAGCCGGCGGUUGUGGGGGUUCAUUUCGCCAUGGUGGAACCGCAGCUGCUGGAGAUGUUGCAUGGGGCAGGUUAGAGGGUUGUGCGCAUCGGGAUGUGCCGUGGUUAGGAUGCGCUAGGUGAGUGGUGGUGGCGGGAUGCGGGGGGCUGUGUAUGCGCGAGCGGAUGGGCGAAAGGGAGGAUGAGUGGGUACGAGUGGGGUCGCGUUGGGGUGUUCAUACGUUGCACAUCUCAGGCAGACCGUUCCAUGCCCCUGGACGCCAUAAAAGCAACAUUGGACCAGGCCUGACCAGUUGCUGCACCUCCCUUUUUACCUUCUCCUCCUCAUGUCCUGCUCCUCGUCCUACCGUUGCUCAUUUUCUCCUCCUUUAUCCGCCUCCUUUCACGUCCAUGUCUUCCUCGUGCUGGGUUAUUGGCUCCUGUCACCAUACCUGCCAGGCCCUGCUGCUAUUUGCUGAAGCUACUGCUGCCACCGCCGGCGUCCACAGCAAACCUAACCUGCGCUUUCCCCUCCCCCCAUCACCUUCCCUUCCACACCACGGGGCCCCCUGCCCUCUUCUGCCCUCCUUACGGGCCCAAUACGCCGUAUUUCCUGCAGGCAAGCAGUUGUUCGCCUGGACUAUCAACCAGGCGGAGGUCCUUCGCGCGGUCCUGGAUGUGGGAGUGGAUGCCGUGGUCACCAACUACCCCCUCACAGCGCUGGCCGCCAUUGACUCACGCCUAUCAAAGUGCGGCGCCGUGCAGGCGGCGGCCAUGCAGAUAGCCGCUCCGCAACGGCGGGAGCAGCGCGCGGGCGGGGAUUACCUUUGAGGGCCAACACGGCGACGUUCCGGGUUGGAGAGUCGGGAGUCUUAAGAGUUAAACGAAGGUACGGGGGUGCCGUUUGACAAAUGCGGAUUAUAGCGAACCUCGAGCGAACCUCAACCUCAACCACUGUUUUGAAGGUUAAGAUGGGUUAUCCUUCUGCUAUAUCUACUGAGAAAUCCGAGGGCACCCUUCUGCGGUAUUGGCCAGAACGCAGCGGUUAGGGCAAGCCGCGGAUUACUGUGCGGCAAUCUCUUAACUGAAACCGAUGCGACGUGGGGGACGGAAAGCGGGUCCGAGGACGGCAUUGAAGCAAACUUGAUACUGGGAAGGCGGACGUGCGGACGCCCGGAUAAUCGCAACGCAUGGAAGCAUAACGAGUGGGAAAUGUUUCGGACAGGGAGAGGGAGAGGCAGAGAAGGAAGGAGAGGGAGAGAAGGAAGGAGAGGGAGAGAAGGAAGGAAGGAGAGGGAGAGAAAAAGAGACAGCCCUAGAAAGUAUUUGAGACCCAUGAUGUGCCAUCGCCUGUUGAGCGCGUGGUGUUGGUGUAAUCAACAUGUUUCCUUCGGACUACAGAUAAGAUGGUGAUGUGGGCAUACAGUGGGCAUACACACAGACUAAGUGCCAAAACCCCUCUCAGUCUCCCCUAUUUAACGCACGCCAGGCUGCGACCGGCGUACUCAUUAUUAUUCUUUUUUUAUUAUUGCGGGCUAAGUUACAAGCUACAAGUUCCGCACGAGUCCUUGCGGGGGCUAAGGAUGGGGACGAAUCGUGACACCACUUUUGUUUCUCUCCCGCUACACUUUGGACCUUGCCAAGAAUGUCGGGUUGGGCAGUUGUAGGUGUUGAUAUAAUCCGCCGCAUGAGAGUCGCGUAGGGCCGUACAUAACACCGGACCGUCUCCAAGGAAAAUUUGAUGUACGGCAGGCUGCAGUCACCAAGCUCGGUCCAGCGCACCUGCGUGCCGAGGCUGCUUUGUCGCACGUACAAUACAUACACGAGAGCGUACACUAGCUGUUGCAUUCAAACAUUCAAAACACCCAGCAACCAGAGCAACCUAGACUUCCAGAACGUAAGCGCAAGCGCCCUUCCGCGCUUUCCCCUCCCCCCACCUGCCUCUUACCGCCUUCGUCACCUAUAAGCCCCACGUCUGGGGCCGACCAGGGCCCCCGCGGCUCUGCCACCGCCACCGCCACCGCCGCGGAUCGACCCACGUCCGCCACCGUCGCUGCUGGGCCGCCCCGCAACCGCUCCCGACUGGCCACCACCGCGACCUCGGGCCCCCAAACCCACCACCGUACCGCUCGUCCCAGCACCCCCGGCACCGCAUGUCCCAAACCCGCAGCUGUUACCGCCACACGACCUUCCACUGCCUCCAAAGCUCCUCUGCACCGCCAUGCCCGGCCCCCUCCCGCCCGCGCCCCUCUGCUGGCGACCUCCCGCGGCCGUCCCCGCUCCCACCGUGCCCCCUCGCCGCCCCCUACCCAAGCCCCAUGCGUGUGUCCCUUGCCCUUCCUCCGCUGCCGAGCGACCCAUGGUUCUCUCUUGGGCGGUCGCGGGCCCUCCUCCGCCGCCUAUGAGUACCCAGGCGUCCUGCAGUUGUCCUAGGGUUAGUCCCACCAGCUCUUGGAAGGAGGAUACCCUGUUGGCGGCUGACAGAUCCAGUUUGAGUUCCAAUCGGCCUCGUAUGCCCAGAUGAGGCUGUGGGAGGGGGGGAAAGGGAAAGUUGCAUCCGAAAGAGUCUGCCGACGUCCAAAGAAAACACCGCCGCCGGAACCUAAAUCAAUGUGGCGCAACGGCAUGUUGUUAGGAGCAUUCCGGAACCUUUUGCCUUAAGCAGCUUACCGGCAGGUAUGUGGAGGGGGGCCGGUGGCCGAGGGUUAGGGAAAAAACGAGGGGAGGGAGGAGGAAGUCCGUGCAUAUGUAGCGGGGGGCAGCGAAGAAGCGAAGAAGGGACCCACGCCGCCACUAGACAGGUCGAGAAACUGCAACCACCCUGCCAGGGUAAUGAACCCCGAAACAUCGACGCCGUACUAUGCCGUACAGUCGCGUUGGCCCGUAUUCACUCCCGGGGACAGAGAGGAAGAGUUGGAUCAAACCCUUUGGAAACGACAACAUCGACCCAGGUUGCAUCACUGCCGGCGGCUCCCUCUGGUAUGAACCACCAGCCGAUCUCACCCUUGGUUUCUGUAUUAGCCCCCCCCCCCCCGUCCUGUCCCACCUGACGACCUCUGAUAGAUCGGACAACCUCUCCAAUCAAAACCCUUCGUGUUGUUGCACCCCUGACCCACCCCGCUCCCCUACGCCCUACCUACCUCCCUACCUACCUUUCCCCCCUAUCCUUGGACCCUUCAUACCUGUCCGCCCCAUAUCCUCUUCCUCCGGCCCUGCCUAACCAUGGCAAUAGCUAGCUUUCUCUUCGAAGUCUGGGAGGAGACUAGGCACGCAGCGCUCCGGCGCUUUACCCGCUCAAACGGAGCCGGGAGGAUGUCGACAGUCGCCCCCGACACCGUCCGUAACAUUAACUUUACGAACGGUUCAUGGCCGAAUGGCCCCCCGGCUUUGAAUGGCCCCUUCCCCCCGCACCUGUGCGGGUACUGUAAUCCCCCUAACCCCCCUGCCCUAUCCAACUCAAUACUGGUCAGUAACUUAGGAUUUUUUCCUGAUGCUGUAUCUGUCUAACCCUGGAGUAAUCGUCUAUCUCUGGUAUCUGCUUUAUUAGUGGUUAUGUAUCGGUGGUUCGUCUUACCCCCCUGCCCUCCGCCUACCUGCGUCAUGACCCUGACGAAGAAGAAGUCAUGUUCCCCCGCCCCCGAGCAGCCUCCCUCCCCCUCCUCCUCUGCGUCGUCCUGUUGUGCCUCCUGGUGGGCUCCACACACGUCGGCCUGACAGCCCCGACCGAGGCUCUCCGUGACGCGGCCCUGGUACACACCUGUGGUGGUUUCGGAGUUGGGUUUCGGAGUGUAAGUUGGUUUUGUGGGGUGGGGGGAUACAAAAGGGGGAAAUAGCUUCUAUAGGACUCCAGGACAGGACAGAAAGCAGAAUUAAAGAAAGCAGAUUCCAAAAACCAGGAUCCAGAAAGCGGAAUGCAAGGAAGAAAUCCACACAGUUUAUGAGGUCAUGAACUAGUAGUGCUUUCGAGGCUUUGUGGACACUUCUCUCCCGCCAUCACCCAUCCAUUCACCUACCCGGCGGCAGCACCUCCUCCCCCGCCCUGGCAUCCAUGUACCUAAACUCCGUCGGCAGUGCGAAGGCCACUCUGCGCCCCAGCAGCUGUCCGCUGCUGAUCAGGGGCUCGGAGCUGGCGGAGUGGGCUGGGACCGAGGCGCGGAAGUUGCACGGUGAGGGAGAAUUAAUUAAAAUAAUGUCACGUAAAAAAGAUAUAACAAAAAAGGUGAUGCAGCGGAAGGAGAGUUAGGUAGAUUGCCGUGUGUGAAAGGAGGGUUGGAAGGGAAAUCAUUUGCAAAUUGCAGAAAUCAGCUGCUAUGCGGGGGAGGGAGACGGGUGGGGAUUGAAAAAAUGAAAGCCCGGGAAGGGGCAAGAAAGAAGUUAAAAGGACAGUUCCUUCACCACGGGAACGUCCAGCUUACAUGGAAAAGUCUUUCUUAUGCGUUGUUUUAUGUUGUCUACCUGCUUGGGACAGCGCCAGGCUGCAGGCCCUUGGGCCCCCUCAGGGCUCCAGGUAUGGGCCCCUAGGCUACACCUUAGCCUAGAGAGUAGCGCAGCUCAAGGAGGUGCAACACGCAAACACGCACAAAAACAUGUGCACGGGCGGGAGGGCUGCAAAGGUUCUCUUCCUCCUCCUGACGCAUGAUGGGGGGAUGGGCGGAAGGAACAAACACCUGAGACGGAGAGGCGGGAGCCUUCCUGAGAGCCUUCAUUCACAUCAUGUGUCCAUACCGAACUAUGAAAGCGCCGAGGGCGGGAGAGGGCUCUUAGGUCACCCCUGGGCCGAUGAUCCUACCCAGCCUAGCGUGCCUGGCGGCCAAAAACGCACACACGCACACACACAACAUACAUACUGGCAGGUGGCUGACAGAGGCUAAGGCCUGGCUUCUGUUCCCGGACCACCCGGGUUCAAAUACACCUGCCGAUUCCUCGGGUGUUUGAGGAGCGAUGAGUAGGGAGGUGGCCCCCCAUCUUAUGGACGGUGCAGGACGUGAUAAUAUCAAUUUGCGAGCUGAUCAGGAACUAAAUUGAGGCGCCGUUGAUCCGCUAGAUUUGGUUGGAUGCUUUUGGCGAGUUGCUGAACCCAACGAUUACAUUCUGAUGUCGGAUGGGGUGAAUGGAUUAGGGUGCCCCUCUCGCAGGGGAGAGCAGGGAG
Molecule: long non-coding RNA, 27291 nt
Filed under: Volvox carteri
Lineage: Eukaryota; Viridiplantae; Chlorophyta; Chlorophyceae; Chlamydomonadales; Volvocaceae
Description: long non-coding RNA (VCAR_LNC002548)
Source: RNAcentral